RNAcentral lists this ribosomal RNA (479 nucleotides) under uncultured Bacillota bacterium. RNAcentral describes it as "bacterial SSU rRNA". It matches the Rfam family "Bacterial small subunit ribosomal RNA", at positions 355 to 825 of the family's 1533-position model. The record is from RNAcentral. Lineage: Bacteria; Bacillati; Bacillota.
UAGGGAAUCUUCCACAAUGGGCGAAAGCCUGAUGGAGCAACGCCGCGUGAGUGAUGAAGGCCUUUGGGUUGUAAAACUCUGUCUUCUGUGACGAACAAGCCUGUGAGUAAAAUGCUCAGGCCCUGACGGUAACAGAGGAGGAAGCCACGGCUAACUACGUGCCAGCAGCCGCGGUAAUACGUAGGUGGCAAGCGUUGUCCGGAAUCACUGGGCGUAAAGCGCGCGCAGGCGGCGAUCUACGUCUGGGGUGAAAGCCCGGAGCUCAACUCCGGGACUGCCUUGGAUACGGGAUCGCUUGAGAAUUGGAGAGGCAAGGGGAAUUCCACGUGCAGCGGUGAAAUGCGUAGAUAUGUGGAGGAACACCUGUGGCGAAGGCGCCUUGCUGGCCAAUUUCUGACGCUGAGGCGCGAGAGCGUGGGGAGCAAACAGGAUUAGAUACCCUGGUAGUCCACGCCGUAAACGAUGAGUGCUAGGUUGGG